RNAcentral lists this ribosomal RNA (253 nucleotides) under uncultured bacterium. Its description in RNAcentral is "partial 16S ribosomal RNA". It matches the Rfam family "Bacterial small subunit ribosomal RNA", at positions 524 to 776 of the family's 1533-position model. The record is from RNAcentral.
UACGGAGGAUGCAAGCGUUAUCCGGAUUUAUUGGGUUUAAAGGGUUCGUAGGCGGAAAAAUAAGUCAGUGGUGAAAGCCUGCAGCUUAACUGUAGAACUGCCAUUGAAACUAUUUUUCUUGAAUACAUAUGAAGUAGGCGGAAUGCGUCAUGUAGCGGUGAAAUGCACAGAUAUGACGCAGAACACCGAUAGCGAAGGCAGCUUACUAAUGUGUUAUUGACGCUGAUGAACGAAAGCGUGGGGAGCGAACAGG